This 509-nucleotide unclassified non-coding RNA is filed under the name Hevea brasiliensis (rubber tree). Lineage: Eukaryota; Viridiplantae; Streptophyta; Magnoliopsida; Malpighiales; Euphorbiaceae. The record is from RNAcentral.
GACCAUCCAACUCCUUAAGGUACUGUUUGCCAUUAAAGAAUUUGAAUCAGGAUAACUUGAGUGACAGACAGUGAGAAACUUGCAAAUGACAAAUUAUAGCUCGAGUAAUCUAAAAAUGGGUGAUCAACUUGCCAAGUCAAUAUAAAUAUCCUUUGCUAUUAAAAAAAAUUCUGACAGGAGAUGUACUAAGAACUGCAGGUAGGAGUUACCAGAGAACACAUAAGUGUGCAAGAUGACUGAUUAUAUAUGCUUAAAGGAUAUAUAAAAAUCUUGAAACUUCUUGCCAAUGAAUUGCCUAUUGAAAUAGAUACUCCUAAAGAAUAAUGUAUUGUACAUGCCAUAUUGAUACGAUACUAGACACAUAUUUGAUUAUACAAAGUACAAGCCAUGCAUAAAAGCUAUAAGGAUAUAAUUUAUUCCAUUAAUUGCAGUCAAUAUCUUUCACUUUGCAUUAUCCUUCAGGCAUUUCAUAGUGAUACCCUAUAUUUAAAUUCCACUUGCCCUUUUAA